Molecule: ribosomal RNA, 157 nt
Filed under: Armillaria novae-zelandiae
Lineage: Eukaryota; Fungi; Basidiomycota; Agaricomycetes; Agaricales; Physalacriaceae
Description: 5.8S ribosomal RNA
Rfam family: 5.8S ribosomal RNA
About the family: 5.8S ribosomal RNA (5.8S rRNA) is a component of the large subunit of the eukaryotic ribosome. It is transcribed by RNA polymerase I as part of the 45S precursor that also contains 18S and 28S rRNA.
Source: RNAcentral
AACUUUCAACAACGGAUCUCUUGGCUCUCGCAUCGAUGAAGAACGCAGCGAAAUGCGAUAACUAAUGUGAAUUGCAGAAUUCAGUGAAUCUUCGAGUCUUUGAACGCACCUUGCGCCCUUUGGUAUUCCAAAGGGCAUGCCUGUUUGAGUGUCAUUA